RNAcentral lists this ribosomal RNA (729 nucleotides) under Triticum aestivum (bread wheat). RNAcentral describes it as "partial small subunit ribosomal RNA". Lineage: Eukaryota; Viridiplantae; Streptophyta; Magnoliopsida; Poales; Poaceae. The record is from RNAcentral.
AUGGCGGAGGAAGCUAAGGCGCCCGCCGACGCAACGUCGACGGUGGCGGAGGAGGCGCCGGUGACGGCCGAGCGGCCGGUACGGCCAGACCUGGAGACACACCUCCCAAAGCCCUACUUGGCUCGAGCUCUGGUCGUGCCCGAUGUGUACCAUCCUGAAGGGGCCGUGGAGGGGCACGAGCACGGGCAGAAGAGCGUGCUGCAGCAGCAUGUGGCCUUCUUCGACCUGGAUGGCGACGGCAUCGUCUAUCCCUGGGAAACUUAUGGAGGAAUGAGGGCAUUGGGCUUCAACGUGAUCGUGUCGUUCGUAUUCGCAAUUGUCUUUAAUAUUGGUUUCAGCUUCCCAACUCUACCUAGCUGGAUACCGUCUCUCUUGUUGCCCGUAUACAUCAAGAACAUCCAUAGGGAUAAGCAUGGUAGCGAUUCCUCAACUUAUGACACAGAGGGAAGGUUCAUGCCGGUAAAUUUCGAGAGCAUCUUCAGCAAGUAUGCCCGCACGGCGCCGGACAAGCUUAGCUUCGGCGACAUCUGGAGGAUGACCGAAGGCAACCGGCUUAACUUCGACUUCAUUGGAUGGAUUGUGAGCAAGGGAGAGUGGAUACUGUUGUACGUGCUUGCCAAGGACGAGGAAGGGUUCCUCUCCAGGGAAGCUGUUCGCCGCUGCUUCGAUGGUAGCCUGUUCGAGUUCAUCGCCCAGCAACGGAGGGAAGCCCACGAGAAGCUGCACUAG